This 454-nucleotide long non-coding RNA is filed under the name Nicotiana benthamiana. RNAcentral describes it as "long non-coding RNA (NBEN_LNC020343)". Lineage: Eukaryota; Viridiplantae; Streptophyta; Magnoliopsida; Solanales; Solanaceae. The record is from RNAcentral.
AAAGAUAUUCAAGGAUAUGAUAAAGAGCAUAUUUAUUGACCAAAAUGACAUAUCUUUCUUAGUAUUCCUUCCUCCAAUGGAAUGAGCACAACAUGGUACUAAUACCACCAUUAAAAGUAAAAAAAAACUAAAAGAAGACAUGCCAAUGUACAAGUUACAUCAUAAUUUAUGUAUUAUUUCUAACAAAUCUCAUAAAACCUUCAAGGUUUGAGGUGGUUGUGUUGGCGGUGGUGGAAAUGAAGCUUGUUCAUCUCCACUUCCGGGUGAAGUUGCUUCCUGAGCAAGUUCUGCUAGAAACUAAUGAAGUUUCUGAACGUUUAGGAUGUUGUCUACUAAAAGUGGGAGUUUGUAGGGGUGGGUGUUCCGAUUCAUUAGUAGCAGGACUAGUAGGUGUAUCAUCUAAAUCUACCGGAGCUUGGGUUUCGUCAUCAUCAUCAUCCUCAUUUCCCUCUAA